This 404-nucleotide ribosomal RNA is filed under the name uncultured Aminobacterium sp. Its description in RNAcentral is "bacterial SSU rRNA". It matches the Rfam family "Bacterial small subunit ribosomal RNA", at positions 355 to 774 of the family's 1533-position model. The record is from RNAcentral. Lineage: Bacteria; Thermotogati; Synergistota; Synergistia; Synergistales; Aminobacteriaceae.
UGGGGAAUAUUGGGCAAUGGGGGGAACCCUGACCCAGCGACGCCGCGUGAGGGAAGACGGCCUUCGGGUUGUAAACCUCUUUUGUACGGGAAGAAGGACGUGACGGUACCGUACGAAUAAGUCCCGGCUAACUACGUGCCAGCAGCCGCGGUAAUACGUAGGGGACGAGCGUUGUCCGGAAUUACUGGGCGUAAAGGGCGCGCAGGCGGUAUAUCAAGUCAGCUGUCAAAGACUGGGGCUCAACCCUGGUAUGCGGUUGAAACUGAUAUGCUGGAGUGCUGUAGAGGCAAGUGGAAUUCCCAGUGUAGCGGUGAAAUGCGUAGAUAUUGGGAAGAACACCGGUGGCGAAGGCGACUUGCUGGGCAGCAACUGACGCUGAGGCGCGAAAGCCAGGGGAGCAAACG